RNAcentral lists this ribosomal RNA (497 nucleotides) under uncultured bacterium. RNAcentral's name for it is "partial 16S ribosomal RNA". It matches the Rfam family "Bacterial small subunit ribosomal RNA", at positions 28 to 507 of the family's 1533-position model. The record is from RNAcentral.
GAUGAACGCUGGCGGCGUGCCUAAUACAUGCAAGUCGAGCGAACAGACGAGGAGCUUGCUCCUCUGACGUUAGCGGCGGACGGGUGAGUAACACGUGGAUAACCUACCUAUAAGACUGGGAUAACUUCGGGAAACCGGAGCUAAUACCGGAUAAUAUAUUGAACCGCAUGGUGCAAUAGUGAAAGACGGUUUUGCUGUCACUUAUAGAUGGAUCCGCGCCGCAUUAGCUAGUUGGUAAGGUAACGGCUUACCAAGGCAACGAGGCGUAGCCGACCGGAGGGGGUGGUCGGCGACCCUGGAACUGGGACGCGGUCCAUACUCCUACGGGACGCAGCAGUAGGGAAUCUUCCGCAAUGGGGGGAAGCCUUACGGAGCAACGCCGCGUGAGUGAUGGCGGCCUUCCGAGCGGGAAACUCUGUUAUUAGGGAAGAACAAAUGUGUAAGUAACUAUGCACGUCUUGACGGUACCUAAUCAGAAAGCCACGGCUAACUACGUG